Long non-coding RNA from Hydra vulgaris (swiftwater hydra), 2938 nucleotides. RefSeq lists it as uncharacterized. The record is from RefSeq and is a predicted model, not a curated record. Lineage: Eukaryota; Metazoa; Cnidaria; Hydrozoa; Anthoathecata; Hydridae.
UUGUAAAACAUGAAAAUAGCAUAACAGCAUUUUCGCUGUCGGAAUAUGGAAAGCAAAAAGUUAAAAAACUGGAAACAAGUAUGACAAGUAUCAGCAUUACAAGUAUGACAAGUAUCAGCAUUGGAUAAAAGACCCAAAAGAAAUAAAAUCUGAGAAAAAGAAAAAGUGCAUUAGACAAACUUUUAGAUCCAAUAAAGGAAAAAGUAAAAAUCAGUUUGAAUGAAGAAAAAGUUCAGCUACUAACAUGAACUCCUGAUAGUUGGUCAAUUAAAAAAACUUGCGAUGCAUUUUCAGUUUCAGAACAUCUUGUUAAGAAAGCCAGAAAGCUAAAAAAUGAAAAGGGAAUACUUGCUAAACCUGAGGCUUAAAAAGGACAUCCUUUGGAGGAUAUUGUUAAGCUAAGAGUCAUUGAAAUAUAUGAAUCUGACGAAUACACUAGACAAUGUUCAGGAAAAAAAGACUUUGUUUCUGUGCAUAUAAAUAAUGUAAAAGUUCAUAAACAAAAUUGCUUAAUAUUAGUUCGUUUAAAAGAACUUCAUCUGGAAUUUAAGAAGUUAUACCCUGAACACAAAGUUGGAUUCAACAAGUUCUGUGAACUAAGGCCAAAGUGGUGCCUUACUGUUGAUAGUAAUGGAAGCCACUCAGUUUGUGGCUUAAUUAGAUUAUGUAUGCAGAUACAUCAGCAAAACUCGAAUUAUCAUUAAAGGAAUUAAAGGGGAUAGAAUUAUCACACCCAAAAUUUUACAAGAGAGUUACAGAUUAUUAUGAGUAGAGAAAAUUUGAGUUUGUCAUGCUUUACAGAAAAGACCUAAUUAUUAGAAACCAUAACACAAAUAACUUUAGUGAAGCAACUAUUAGAAUUCUAAAAGACAUUAUUUUAAGUAGAACUAAAGCAUUUAAUGUUGCAGCUUUUGUAGAUUACACUGUUAAUGUUUGGGAUAAUUAUUAUAGGAACCGUCUUCUCAAUUCAGCUUAUAACUGUUGCUCUUCAUAUGAAAUGUUUUACAACAAGUUAUGUCAAAAAUCUGACAAGAUAACUAUUGAAUCUAUUAAAUUGUUAGAGGUUAACAAUUUUAGUGUUCCAAGUUUUAAAAACUCUAAUGAUAAGUAUAUAGUAAAUAGUGAUGUUGGAUAUUGUUUAUGCAUUAGUGGUCGCCAGGGAGGAUUUUGUAAACACAUGGCUGCAAUACACAAACUGUUUAAAAUUAGUUUUCCCUGCGCCCCGCCAAUAACAUCUGAUGACAGAUAUGAACUUGGAAAACUUGCACUGGGACUAAAGUGCCCCAAGCCGUAAUUUUUUCUUUAUUUGAGAGAUAUCAAUGAAGGGGAAAAUGAAACAAUUUCAACUCCAAUAGUGCAUCGUGGGACCUAAAAAGGAAACAUUUCUACUUGAUGGUAAAGCUAAAAGUUAGUUAACUUGUAGUUUUCACUACUAGCUCAUUUAAAUAUUGGUUGUAGCAACGGACGUCUACUGCAUAUAUUGGCAACUAACAAGGAUUCAUAUAAAGUAACUGUAGAAGUAAUCAAUAAGUAUUUUAACAUCAAAGUUUGUACUAAUUAGAUUUUGCAACUAGUUAAAACAUCAAAAAACUUUGUAAACCAUUUUUCACGAGAUUCAAAACAAUUUAUUGACAUCUGCAACAUGCUCUGUGCAUACCAAAUAAUAACAUCUGCUAUGGCACAAACAUCGCAAUCAAUUGCAACCUAAAUUCACAUUGCUAUAUGUUCUUCAUUUCCCUUUCAACAAAUCAGUGUUUUAUCUGUAUCAAACAGUGGUCACUUAUCUCUUUUAUCUGGUCCUGCUAUAGAAACCUCUUCUCAUGAACCACUAUCUAGUUAAAGAGCUGACUAGUUAAGUCCCAGAAAAAGGUUAUGAGAAAGAGAUUUAAUUUUUUUGUUUGAAACAGCAGUUAACAUUAAUCGAAACCAAGUUUUCUUAUCAAAAAACAAUUUUAUACCAACAACUUGCUGAAAAAAAUUAUGCAAUUCUUGUACUGCAAAAUGACAUUGAUACUGAUUUUACAGGAAGAGUUGGAGGAAAUUCAGCAAGUAACACAAAACACCAAAACUCAAAAACACUACUCAGCAGAUAUUAGAACACUUAUAUACGACAUGCUUGUGUGUUAAGUUCCUGGUUUCAUUCGCUACACAAUUCAUUUUCUACACAAUUCUGCAAUACAAACUUCGCUACAAGGAUGCAAAAGUGAUCCAAAGGGUUUUGGGUUCUUUUUGGACCAACACGAGUUGCCCAGAAGAUUGCUACCAUGCUAUAGAGGGAACAGAAUACAUAUGCUUUUUCACACAUGUGGUACUUUGAUCUAUAAUUAUUCCAUAUUGAAGAUAUUUUUGUGUUCUGGCUUGACAUUAUGUGAAUGUCUGCAAAAUGGUUUGUUUCAAGACUUUACAUCUGAAACAGGAAAUCAUUCUCCUCUUCUCUAUUUUGUAAUGGGUUUUUCAGUUAUUGUGUUAAAUAUCUAAUGUAUUUUUAUUUAUCUGUUAUUGCAAAGUUUUAACUAAUAGCAUGCUAAAAGAUUGCAAUUUGCUACUGUCUUAAAGUCCUCAAGAUUAUAUUUAAUAAUUCAGUUACACAACAUGAUGAGUACUACACGCUUGCUUUGAUGUUUGUUGAUCUUCUUCAUUUCAAUAUUAAAUCGAUAUCAUUAUAUGUGGUUUCCAUCGCGUACUAAAGAUUUGACUCUUUCUAUGGAUGUCACAGUUUUAUUUACUUCAAAAACUAGGCUUUUUUCAAGGCCACAAUUCUGUUAAAAACAUUACUAAGCAAAUAAAAUAACUAUUACAGUGUAAAUUUAUUGUUAAAGAAGUAUGUUUAAAAAAAAAUAUUUGUAUUUUUUGCAGUUUGUUGGAAUUUAUAUAUUGUUAGAUAGAUAGAUAUGUAUAUGGGCCCACGGAAGGAAACAAAAAGGGGAGCCGUGGUGGG